GAUCAUGGCUCAGGACGAACGCUGGCGGCGUGCCUAAUACAUGCAAGUAGAACGCUGUAAGGAAGGAGCUUGCUCUUUCCGGAUGAGUUGCGAACGGGUGAGUAACGCGUAGGUAACCUGCCUGGUAGUGGGGGAUAACUAGUUGGAAACGAUAGCUAAUACCGCAUAACAGUAGAUAUCGCAUGAUAGCUGCUUGAAAGGUGCAAUUGCACCACUACCCAGAUGG
Molecule: ribosomal RNA, 226 nt
Filed under: uncultured bacterium
Lineage: Bacteria
Description: partial 16S ribosomal RNA
Rfam family: Bacterial small subunit ribosomal RNA
Source: RNAcentral